GAUGAAGAACGCAGCGAAAUGCGAUAAGUAAUGUGAAUUGCAGAAUUCAGUGAAUCACCGAAUCUUUGAACGCACAUUGCGCCCCUUGGUAUUCCGAGGGGCAUGCCUGUUCGAGCGUCAUUAUAACCCCUCAAGCUCAGCUUGGUGUUGGGGCCUGCUGCACUGGCAGCCCUUAAAAUCAGUGGCGGCGCCAUCUGGCUCUAAGCGUAGUAAUUCUUCUCGCUAUGGAGUCCUGGUGGAUGCUUGCCAUCAACCCCCAAUUUUUCUAUGGUUGACCUCGGAUCAGGUAGGGAUACCCGCUGAACUUAAGCAUAUCAAUAAGCGGAGGA
This 329-nucleotide unclassified non-coding RNA is filed under the name soil metagenome. RNAcentral describes it as "partial contains 5.8S ribosomal RNA, internal transcribed spacer 2, and large subunit ribosomal RNA". The stretch from base 1 to 120 matches the Rfam family "5.8S ribosomal RNA", at positions 35 to 154 of the family's 154-position model. The record is from RNAcentral.